RNAcentral lists this long non-coding RNA (890 nucleotides) under Olea europaea subsp. europaea. The record is from RNAcentral. Lineage: Eukaryota; Viridiplantae; Streptophyta; Magnoliopsida; Lamiales; Oleaceae.
CCCAAGUUAUCAUAGCAAGCCGAAUAUAAACCCAAAAUAAAUUUAAAAAAAGGCUAAAAACUACCACCCAUUCUAGCGCCGAUCGUGACCAUCAACCUGUCGGAUCUCUCUCACCGCCUAUCGAUUUUAUUUUAUUUUUUGCCUGCAAAACCUUAACACGGACCACUGCCGCCCCCUUCUUCCCCACUCUAACAAGAACCGCUGCCACCAAAGUUAAAGCAACAAAUUUACACAGCAACAAGAAAAUACGCUACCAUAGAACAAUUAGCAACCAAGCACACAAGACCUUGAUCGUGAGUUGUCUCUACCUAGAAGCCUCCAAAUUAAAAUCGACCGCCUAUUGAAAUUGAAAUUUUAGAAUCUUAAAUUCAAGGUUUUAAAUCCAACACACGAAUCUCUCCAUCUUUGGUAAAGAGUAGGAGGAAAAAUGCACAAGACGGGGAUGGGAGUCCGAUGCACAAUCGUCGAUAAAAGGCGAUUGCAGUGGGGCAGCAGGAAGAAGGUCGCACAGUAGACCAAGUUUCAGCCAUGCGUAGGAGGGAGAGGGAACAAGUGUAUGUAGAUUCGAUUUUAGAAUUUAUUUUCAUAUGUUUACACAAUGAAUGCAUAAUAUACUUAUUUGCACAAGGUGGAGUUGGAGAAAACUGGGAAACCAAAAACAAAACAAGAGUAGAGGUGGUGUUCAGAGGAGAGAUAGAGGCGGAGGUCUUCAAAUUAUUAAUUCAAUUUUAGCGAAGGGAUAGUGGAUUUGUUAGAAGGUUGAGUAUUUUUAAAUUGAUCAUCUUGAAUUUCACAUUCAGUAGCUUGAUUAAAAUGGCAUACAUCCUAAAACCUUUGUAAAAGUUGCUACGUUUGGGUUCGGCCCACAACUUAUUAUCCAUGAAUAAUAG